Ostrea edulis (European flat oyster) is the source of this 3901-nucleotide long non-coding RNA. RefSeq lists it as uncharacterized. The transcript has 2 exons. NCBI's taxonomy places the organism in Eukaryota, Metazoa, Mollusca, Bivalvia, Ostreida, Ostreidae. The record is from RefSeq and is a predicted model, not a curated record.
AAUUUUAUCACAUAUUUUAUUAUAACAGACUUUUCCAUAAACUUGACUUUUUUUUUUUACCGGUACCUAAAUCCGAACUACAUCCGUAACGUUAACAGUAUGCCACUACAAAUAGUUCCUAGGGAAAUAUAAAUAAAAAUGAAUAUCGAUUGUCAUAAUGUUUAAUUCAUAAAUGAGCAUUUUUAAAUGAGAAAAGCUUCACAUUUCAGAACGUUUUACUUUGGCGAUGAAAUUCCACCAUGUAUAUUAUCAGUAAGAGAAUUUUAUGUUUUCUGUGACAUGGAGGGUCGUGGAGCUUUAUUUGUCAGAGGUAAUUGUGUUUCUUAUAUCUGUAUUUUUAUGCCCCCGAGAUCGAAGAUCGGGGGGGCAUAUUGUUUUUGUCCUGUCUGUCAUUCUGUCUGAAACUUUAACCUUGCUAAUAACUUUUGAACAGUAAGUGAUAGAGCUUUGAUAUUUCACAUGAGUAUUCCUUGUGACCAGACCUUUCCGUGGGUACCAUUUUUGAUCCCUUGACCUUGGAAUUUGACCUACUUUUUGAAAACGUUAACCUUGCUAAUAACUUUUGAACAAUAAGUGCUAGAGCUUUGAUAUUUCACAUGAGUAUUCCUUGUGACAAGACCUUUUCGUGGGUAUUGAACCUUUUGAUCUUGACAUUUGACCUACUUUUAAUUUUUUUUUUACAUUGGUCAUAACUUCUAAAGCUUUAAUAUUGUACAUGAGCAUUUCUUUUGACAAGAUCUUUCUACUGGUACCAAUAUAGUUGCCCUUGUGACCUUGGUCAUCUUCGGAAUUGGCCAUUAUCGGGGGCAUUUGUGUUUCACAAACACAUCUUGUUUAAAAAAGUGAUGGAAUCGCUGUGUUUGCAGUUGAAUGUGGCGUAUCCCGGGUUCAUUUGGUGCAUGGAGUAGGAACGUUGAUAUCCACUAAAUAUAUACUAGAUGAAGGGGUGAAUACGUGAUAAAGGAUCUUUGUGUGUUCGCUUCCUAAUGUGAACUAUCGGGUUCUCUAAACUCAUAAAGAUUUACACACUAAGACAUGAUUAGUUAUGAGAAUGGGUCAAUAAAACGGGUUUUCAUUUCGAGUUUUUUAGAAUUUUUUUUUUUACAAUUAAGGUAGCGACGGAUAGCAACCACGUGAUCAGUAAAAAUUGUGUAUGUUCACGUGAAUUCAUUUUCCGGAAUUCCUUACUCCGUCAUAGAAUAGUCGAAAAACAAAAAGGGGUUCCGAAAGUGUUUUGUUGCUGUGACUGACUCGCCUACAGAAAAUAUGCACAUACCACAUAAGUAUACGUCAAUGUCUGUAAUAAUGGUAGAUCAAAUGUUUCAUCUGUGUGAAACUUUUUGCUAAUCGAAAUGUUAAACCAACCACCAAUCCAUGUACAUAGAUGCGCUACGUAAACAAAGUUGUUGAUUGAUGCAUCGUAAUGUCCGAGUGCUGCAUGCUGAGAUAUUAAAUACUGUUUAUACAGUCAUUGAGAGGCUAAACAAAGUUUCUUGCAAGAAGAGGAAGUUGGUGGAUGCAUUCAACUUGGACAACGAAAUCAUAGUUUCGUUUGGUGAGUGAAAAAAAUGCCAUAAAUUUGUAUUCAAAAGUUCAACUCACAUUUCCUCUGCUAUUUCACAACGCGAUUUAUAAUAACAUCUGUAAGUUUAAACACACGACAUACAGUAGAUGUAUUAUUUUGUAUGUAUAUAUGUAUUCCAUAUGUGCAUAAAAUAUAACUCCCACCUGUGCAUGUAAUUGUAAACGAACGGAUGUCAUGUAAAUGUAUACCACAUUUGUAAACAUGGGCUCUCACAACUCUUAAAAUAAUAAUAUCGUUAUGAAAAUAACCGUUACGAAAAUAACAUACCUUGAACUACCUGUAUAAAAGUAAUGAAAAACAAAUAUCUGUAUAGACCUACUAUCUAGGGGUAUGAGGGAACCGGAUAAAAAGUGGAAAGGGGGGGGGGGCAUGUGUUGAAUUAUAAUUCCCUAGACUAUAGUAUACAUAUACUAUUACUUUGAAAUUUCAGUGACCUAAGAAAUAUAUCAAACCUGAAGUUUCGUGUUUCACACAAACAUGUAGGUUGGCAAAACCUUUUUAAAUAAUGUAAAUUAAUCACAAGUCUGCAUAUGCCCUCUCAUAGGCAAAUGUAUGCACUGUAUGUAUAAGUAAGAUAUGUAUACUACACGUAUGCCCUUCUCUUGACCCACAUUUUGUAAAUAAAACAGAUAUGAUAAGUCUAUGGCAGUUUAUGAAAACAUAUAUACAUGUCAUCUCAUUGCAAUUUAUAAUUUUGAAACAUCAGUAUUUAAAUUUUAACUGAAUAUGUGUUGAGACACAGUUUUAAAAUUCACAUUGUCUGACGCAAUCUAAUUACUCAAUGGUAUAAUAUAGACCUAACUGUGCAAAUAUCAAUUAUGAUGAUCUUUUUUCUAGGCAUCAGCCUGAAGACCGAGGGAGGUUAGAUAGGACCAGUGCAGGUUGAAGUGGAUUUCGAGCCAACAAGUAUAACAGCAAGAGAGGUACUCCAUUUACAGUGAUGAUGACAUAUCCCCUGGACCCCCACAACUCCACAAACUUAAAAAUGUUUGAUCAAGUUCCGAAGAUUAAAGAACUACUGCAAAAUUUGGGACUGGAUGAAAAACAUUAAUUCACUUAUAUGAGCUCAGAGCAGUGGAUGUUAUACAACAUACUUUAAACUAAAUUGUGAAUUUAAGGGAAAACAAGAUCAUGUACUCGUAUAUUACAAGUACAUGCCUUUUGAAAGACAAUAAUAUUGCAUAGAUGUAAAGGAAAUUUCAAUGUUGAUUAUUCUUUCUUAGAUAUAUUAGUAAAAAAUGUGCACAUGAUAGAAUAUCAAUUUUAUAACUUCAAUCAAUGUGUUUGAAUUUUCCUUGUAAUUCAAAAUUUAGUUGAAACAUACAUCAUAGAUACAUUAAUGUAUAUCAAUUUUUUAGAAAAGUUUCAUAAUGGAACUAAUUCACACACCCCCCCCCCCCUUAUACAUACAGUGAACAUAGACCUUCACCUGGGGAAAACUUCAGUUAGUUAAUGCAAUAUACAUGUACAUGCAUUCUCAGUUAUCCAAUAGUGAGUUUUUGGUUCCAUGUGAAACUACAAUUAGAAAUCUUAAACUUAUGAAAGACACACCUAUCUGUGAGGGUAAGAUGACUCAGAUGGACUUACAUGUAGUGAUCCAUGGGCAGUCCAUGGGUCUCUUUCCAUUGAUAUUAAUUAUUUAUUGAAAUAUGAAAUGGUUAUUUAAACAUAUUUGGUGUAUUAUACUGUAUAGUGUUAUAAAUUUCUAUCAAAAAAUAUGUAUAGGUAAUAGAUUUGGUCCAGUUAUUACAAGAAAUUGUAUAAAAAAUAACUAAAUAUUUAGGCAAUCAUUGUGAGUGCGAAAAUGUCAACUGCAAUAGCACACACUAUAUAUCAUUCUUAAAUGGCUCAUAGAAACUUCUAGUAUUGUGAGUUUGAAUGCUCAAUAUGGUAAUUUGGGAAUGCUUAAUCAUUUAAGGUCAAUAGUUUAUCUCUGCUGACUGUAUCUCUUAAAAUUCAUUUUUAGAAGGGAGGGGGUAGGGUUACAAAAUCUGACAUAGUUUCAGAUUAAACCUCAUUUGGUAUAUUUUUUUCUAUUCAAUAUUUUAGAUACUACUUGACUUAUUGUAAAAAUGAAAUAAAAUCAGAAAUUUUAUGAGCAGAAUUUUUUUGUUGUCAGAAAAUGUAUGCCUGAUAGUAUUUGAGAAACGCCAUAUUUAGGGUAAAUUUGGCCAAUUGCCAAGUCGAAUCAUGCCAAUGUUUUCCUUAGAUGCAUUUUGAAUUUCUAAUCCAUGUUGAUUUUUUAUCUGUUUGUGUUUAAUUUACAUAACUAUAUAUGACAAACAAUAUUUCUGGUGUCAAUAAAAUUUUAUUGGC